Long non-coding RNA from Rhinopithecus roxellana (golden snub-nosed monkey), 516 nucleotides. RefSeq lists it as uncharacterized. NCBI's taxonomy places the organism in Eukaryota, Metazoa, Chordata, Mammalia, Primates, Cercopithecidae. The transcript is spliced from 3 exons. The record is from RefSeq and is a predicted model, not a curated record.
CCGCUCUGGCCAUGCCUCCAGCCGAGAGGGGCCCUGGAGAGGCUCACCUUCAACCAGCCAACAUAGAAGAAGAACUGCAGGAAUGUGAAGACGGGCACAACGAGGUCCAGCUCAUGGCCAGGCUUCCUCAUCUAUCAAAAAAGAACCAGGACCUCACAGACUCAGAGAGGAAGGAGGGGCAUCUGAGGAGGGACCACCUCGGGCUGUGGAAUGCUGUUGGAAAAGAUUCUGCAACCCCACCUCAGGCUUUGGGAAGACUCUUGGGGGCUCAAGGCUUCUCUUUGCAGGAAACCUUGUUUCCUGUGGACCACAACCCUUCCCACUCUGCGGCAGCCCUGUCUGCACAGCGGGCUCACGUUCAGCAGGCUCUGGAGCAGGAUAGGGUCCCGGAUUCGACCUCCAAGCCACGCCUUCAUUGACAGGUUGGCAAACCACACCCAGGGCACCCAGAACAUGUUGUGUGGUCCCAUCCAUUGGACCUCCCUUCAACCCCAAGAGAGACCACUACCCUAGCAG